AUUUCAAUGGUUAGAGGUGAGCGUGACGUUAACCGGAACUAGCGGGGAAUUCAGGCUCCAUGUGAGUCAGCAGCGUGAUAUAAAAAAAGCAAGGAGGUGAUGGUACCAUUGCUCUCUGUCCUGGUCAUUCCAACCAACAACGUCUACUUAGUGCAUGGCCUAAGGUUAGCCUCUGCAGAUAAGAAUGGUCCCAGAAUUGUGUGAGCAUUUGAGCGUGAGCCACAGGGGAAGGAGUCCAAGAAAAAGAGUUAGAAGAGAGAUUAUUGUUGAGGACAGGAGUCCAGAGGCUAUUAAAUGCUGCUGUGUUCCUGUCAAUUUGUU
Phascolarctos cinereus (koala) is the source of this 321-nucleotide non-coding RNA. The record is from RefSeq and is a predicted model, not a curated record. Lineage: Eukaryota; Metazoa; Chordata; Mammalia; Diprotodontia; Phascolarctidae.